Ictidomys tridecemlineatus (thirteen-lined ground squirrel) is the source of this 2201-nucleotide long non-coding RNA. RefSeq lists it as uncharacterized. The record is from RefSeq and is a predicted model, not a curated record. Lineage: Eukaryota; Metazoa; Chordata; Mammalia; Rodentia; Sciuridae.
AACUGGAGGCAGGCGGCCACCUCCGCGCCUGCACAGAAACACGUGUCAACCGUUUCAGAAGCCCGAGUGCCAAGCCAGAGCGUCUCACCUGGGGGACUGGGCUGAGCUAGUCCAGCUCAGUCUUGAAAUCUGUCGGAUGCAGACAAGAGACAGGUCUCCAGAGCCGAGGACCCGCCGCACAGCAGCCCUGGUCAGCAGCUCUGCAGAGGUGCUGGUGUCGGACGCUGGGACUUGUGAUAUCAGGGGACGGGGAAGAAAGCAGCCCGGAAAUGGGUGUUCGCAGGGCACAGCAAACCCCAGCACCUUAAAGAGUCACGAGCCCAUUUCUCAUUCUUUUCCCUUCCCCGGAACUUUCUCGCAGCGCCCUGCACAACUUCAGCAUGUACUUGACAUUCAAAUGCACGGACGAUCAUGCAUCGCAUUCCUCGGUGGUUCCCAAGUCGCCUGAAUAAAGCAUUUCCCAGGGUAGGCGAACCCGGGGCUUAGGACCGUGGGAGCAGCCCUGGGACCUCUCUGCCUGGGUCAGGAAGGCUGCUUUUUCCGGAAGGGCGGCAGAGACCCUGGGAACUGGACCAGCCCAGCUCACAAGUAUGAAGAGAAUGCAAAGGGAGGAAGUGGCGGCUGAGAGUCAGCAUGAGUCAUCGUCCCAAUGAGAAUGAGGGCCGAGGUGUGCGCCUUUUUUUUUUUUGGUCUUGAUUGCGUGGACAUCACUGGGAAUGGAGGGAGCCGGUGGUGACUGUACCGCUCGCUCGGUCAGUUUUAAAGCGGCGCUCCGUGCGGGCAGGCCGGGCCUGAGCAUGACUUUGGUCCCCGGGAAGGAACAGCCCUCAGCUUCUCCCUGAAUAACUGGGAGACGGAACAGGAAGCUCUAUGACACACUCGGUCGAAAAUGACACAGACUCAGAAAAACCAGGACUCAGCCCCCCAGCGCCUCUGCCUGCUGCCGGCUGGAAGGCAGGACAAGGGGUCUCCUGGGACCGGAUUCUAACCGCUGUGGACGCUCAGGGUUUCCAUGUUCACUGGGAUGUUUCUGCAAACUUUCGGUCAGGGAUGGUGCACUCGUGAUGUUGUCUUAUUUAUCUGGCCAGUCUCUUGUGUCUUAAUCCCUCUCCUUCAUUAAAGCAAAACUCAAGAAAACCAAACUGUUUGCUUAUUCGCUGCCUGGAAACCCCAGCUGAAGGGGCCGACCCAUGUCCGCUGAGCUCCCCCAAGGCACAGGUGACGCUCGUCUCCACCACCUGUUCCUGACCAUGUUGGGCUUGAACCUCUGUUACUCAGCCAUGCUUGUCCUGCUUCUUAAAUCUCUAGAAGGUCUCUCUAGAGUCAGCAUGGGCAGGUCGACCUUUGAGAAGAACCCUGGAAUCCAUCUGGAAAUCUCUUGCCUCGCCCACCCUGAUCCUGGCCUGCACCUGUGACCCCAAGAUCACCAGGAGCCUUUCAGCUGGGGACCUUGGCCUUAUCUGUGUCCCCCUCCCUGCCCCACAUCCACCACCUCUUUGCUUAUUCAUUCCCUAAAGUUUUCUCUGGGGCCUACUGUGUGCCCGUUGCUGCCGGCAAGGCCCAGGUUGUGGCCAGCUCUGCUCACCUCCUGAGGGGCUUUGACCAGGUAGUGCCCGGACAGAUCACCAGGCCCGGCUCACUGAGAUGCCCUGAUUCCCCAGAUCCACGCCUCAGAGCUGAGGCCUGGAACUGGCCUCUUCAUAGUCCUUAAAGAAACAAGAUGGCAGGCCAGCCUCCUCUGCCUCUGGCCACGAGCAGGACAACCCACCUCCCUGAAGGUGUGCCUAGAGAGGCCACUGUGGUCACCUCCCAGUACCGUCUCUUCAUCUGUAAGCUUAGCAGACAUUCCGGAACGAUGCUGAGUGGGUGAGCUCGUGACUUCUCUGCAAGGCUGCCACGCUGAGCUGUCUGGCCUUCCGACCAGGGUUUGGUGGGCACUGAGGCUGGUUGACGCUGUGGCCAGGACUGGCCAGUGUCAGCCAGGCUCUCUCCAUGACACUGCCCAACAGGAAAGGUGGCCUGUGGAUCGAUUCUCAUCAGAAACCCAAAGUUGCUCGCUGUGUUUUAAAAAAAAGUUUAUUUGCUUAUAUUCCUGGAAAAUUGUGUUGUGGAGGGACAUGUCCUCCGUGGGGUGUCUCUAGCUGCUGCUUCUCAGCAGGACAUUAAGAAGGCCAGAUAAAAUGACUCUUAAGAUCCCCCUG